This 496-nucleotide ribosomal RNA is filed under the name uncultured bacterium. RNAcentral describes it as "partial 16S ribosomal RNA". It matches the Rfam family "Bacterial small subunit ribosomal RNA", at positions 28 to 506 of the family's 1533-position model. The record is from RNAcentral.
GAUGAACGCUGGCGGCGUGCCUAAUACAUGCAAGUCGAGCGAACAGACGAGGAGCUUGCUCCUCUGACGUUAGCGGCGGACGGGUGAGUAACACGUGGAUAACCUACCUAUAAGACUGGGAUAACUUCGGGAAACCGGAGCUAAUACCGGAUAAUAUAUUGAACCGCAUGGUUCAAUAGUGAAAGACGGUUUUGCUGUCACUUAUAGAUGGAUCCGCGCCGCAUUAGCUAGUUGGUAAGGUAACGGCUUACCAAGGCAACGAUGCGUAGCCGACCUGAGAGGGGGAGAUGGCACACAGGAAAAGGGACACGGGCCAGAGACCCAUGGGAGGCACAAGAAUGGGAAAUUACCCGAAGGGGGAAAAAUUGAAAGGGCAAAACGCCGGGAGGGAGAAAAGGCUUUGGGGAGUGAAAACCUUUUUUAUGGGAAAAAAAAAAAUGUAAAAAAAAAUGCGCGCGUUGAGGGGACCUAUAAAGAAAACCACGGGGAAAUACAC